GACGAACGCUGGCGGCGUGCCUAAUACAUGCAAGUUGAGCGCUGAAGGUUGGUACUUGUACCAACUGGAUGAGCAGCGAACGGGUGAGUAACGCGUGGGGAAUCUGCCUUUGAGCGGGGGACAACAUUUGGAAACGAAUGCUAAUACCGCAUAAAAACUUUAAACACAAGUUUUAAGUUUGAAAGAUGCAAUUGCAUCACUCAAAGAUGAUCCCGCGUUGUAUUAGCUAGUUGGUGAGGUAAAGGCUCACCAAGGCGAUGAUACAUAGCCGACCUGAGAGGGUGAUCGGCCAAAUUGGGACUGAGACACGGCCCAAAAUCCUACGGGAGGCAGCAGUAGGGAAUCUUCGGCAAUGGCCGAAAGUCUGAACGAGCAACGCCGCGUGAGUGAAGAAGGUUUUCGGAUCGUAAAACUCUGUUGGUAGAGAAGAACGUUGGUGAGAGUGGAAAGCUCAUCAAGUGACGGUAACUACACAGAAAGGGACGGCUAACUACGUG
RNAcentral lists this ribosomal RNA (497 nucleotides) under uncultured bacterium. RNAcentral's name for it is "partial 16S ribosomal RNA". It matches the Rfam family "Bacterial small subunit ribosomal RNA", at positions 28 to 507 of the family's 1533-position model. The record is from RNAcentral.